UGAGAGAGAGAGAGACAUCAACCUCACCACGUCGUCCACGUUUCUCUCCAUCUUCUUUCACUAUGAUAAGUCACGACCAUGCUCUGCUCGAACCAUCAAUCAGUUAUUUUUCCCGGAGCACUGGAGAUCCUGUUUCAGAUUAUAGCGACCCUACUCUGAAUCACAAACCCAACUCUGAGAAUUUUGAUAAUCAAUACGGCGAAGAGAUUUGCGACUUACGAGGAUUAUACUGAUAACAAAAUAAAUCCAGGAUACAAGCAACACGUGUUGCUGGAGAAUCUAUAGAGAAUGCGUCCAUUACGCCAUAUUCAGUAAUGAUUGCUUUUAGUUUUCAUUCUGAGAUCCAAUAUCUAGAUUGCUUUCGGUCUGUCUGAUUGUCAGAUUAAUAAUAUGUUUGGUCAAAGUUUCAACCAAUCAGACAGAUAGAAAGCAAUCUGGAUAUUGGAUCUCAGAAUGAAAAUGACCAGAGAGAGUUCCAAUCUCUCAUUGGCAGCACCCUCACAUCUCAAGGUAAUGCCCAAAUUUGUUUGCUUUGCUUUUGCAAUAUUGGAAAAGCUGAACCAGGGGGAUAUUAAAGACUACUCGGCACGUUUAACCACUCUCAUAUGUUUACGGUUGGUUUGUUGAGCUGAUAAUCUUACUUGAACUCAUUUGUCCUGGCAGAUAUGGAAUGGGAUGUAGCAAAUCACAUCUUGGUGCUUGUAUUGGAUCAAAACGUCAGAAUCUCCAGUCUGUUGAUUCUGAGAGCAGUUUAAAAUCUGAAUACAAAGUUUUAUCUUCACUGGCAAAGAUCCAGGGUCAGCUGGGAGAAUUUCACAUUUUCUUGAACCAGCAUAAAACUCAGUGCUCCUUGACCCAUUAUUCUCAUCUCCUCUGAUGUUACCUUUGUUCUCUCCAUCACCUUCCCAUCUUUCUCU
Molecule: long non-coding RNA, 917 nt
Organism: Arabidopsis lyrata subsp. lyrata
Lineage: Eukaryota; Viridiplantae; Streptophyta; Magnoliopsida; Brassicales; Brassicaceae
Exons: 4
Source: RefSeq, a predicted model, not a curated record